RNAcentral lists this ribosomal RNA (253 nucleotides) under uncultured bacterium. RNAcentral's name for it is "partial 16S ribosomal RNA". It matches the Rfam family "Bacterial small subunit ribosomal RNA", at positions 524 to 776 of the family's 1533-position model. The record is from RNAcentral.
UACGUAGGUGACCAGCGUUGUCCGGAUUUACUGGGCGUAAAGAGCGCGCAGGCGGUCGUUCAAGUCGAGUGUGAAAGCCCCCGGCUCAACUGGGGAGGGUCAUUCGAUACUGAUCGACUUGAGGGCAGGAGAGGGAAGUGGAAUUCCCGGUGUAGUGGUGAAAUGCGUAGAUAUCGGGAGGAACACCAGUGGCGAAGGCGACUUCCUGGCCUGUUCUUGACGCUGAGGCGCGAAAGCUAGGGGAGCAAACGGG